GUUCUUAAUGUCUUGCCACCUUCUGAUCUCGACGUAGUGGAACAAGAUGAACUCGAUCACAAACAGGGUGGAUGAUGAUGCAAAGUACUCUGAUUUUCCAGCAUCGUACCAUUUGGGCACAUUAAGUAUCCCAAUGCUAGUGAAAACUUCAGGCAACAGCAUCCCUGCAACACCCAACAUAGCCCAACGACCAUUCACCAGUUCAGCCUGGAUGAACCAUUUCAAGUUCUCUGGGUCCUCCGCAAGUCCCAAUGGAUCAAAACCAUUGUCUCCUGGGAGACUGCCAUCAAGAUAAUCAGGAGAGGCUAAGCCAGGAAGCCAUUGACCUUUCUUAGCUUCAACCUUGAAUGAG
This 352-nucleotide unclassified non-coding RNA is filed under the name Hevea brasiliensis (rubber tree). The record is from RNAcentral. Lineage: Eukaryota; Viridiplantae; Streptophyta; Magnoliopsida; Malpighiales; Euphorbiaceae.